RNAcentral lists this ribosomal RNA (399 nucleotides) under Listeria monocytogenes. Its description in RNAcentral is "bacterial LSU rRNA". It matches the Rfam family "Bacterial large subunit ribosomal RNA", at positions 2223 to 2621 of the family's 2925-position model. Lineage: Bacteria; Bacillati; Bacillota; Bacilli; Caryophanales; Listeriaceae. The record is from RNAcentral.
UAACCCGCCACGCUUAGCGCGUGGGGAGACAGUGUCAGGUGGGCAGUUUGACUGGGGCGGCCGCCUCCUAAAGAGUAACGGAGGCGCCCAAAGGGUCCCUCAGAAUGGAUGGAAAUCAUUCGCAGAGGGUAAAGGCACAAGGGAGCUUGACUGCGAGACUGACAAGUCGAGCAGGGACGAAAGGCGGGCUUAGUGAUCCGGUGGUUCCGCAUGGAAGGGCCAUCGCUCAACGGAUAAAAGCUACCCCGGGGAUAACAGGCUUAUCUCCCCCAAGAGUCCACAUCGACGGGGAGGUUUGGCACCUCGAUGUCGGCUCGUCGCAUCCUGGGGCUGUAGUCGGUCCCAAGGGUUGGGCUGUUCGCCCAUUAAAGCGGCACGCGAGCUGGGUUCAGAACGUCG